GCCAUUAGCUCAGUUGGUAGAGCAUGAGACUCUUAAUCUCAGGGCCAUGGGCUCGAGCCCCAUGUUGGGCA
This is a non-coding RNA of Podarcis lilfordi (Lilford's wall lizard), 71 nucleotides long. The record is from the annotation of a GenBank genome assembly. NCBI's taxonomy places the organism in Eukaryota, Metazoa, Chordata, Lepidosauria, Squamata, Lacertidae.